This 253-nucleotide ribosomal RNA is filed under the name uncultured bacterium. Its description in RNAcentral is "partial 16S ribosomal RNA". It matches the Rfam family "Bacterial small subunit ribosomal RNA", at positions 524 to 776 of the family's 1533-position model. The record is from RNAcentral.
UACGAAGGGGGCUAGCGUUGCUCGGAAUCACUGGGCGUAAAGGGCGCGUAGGCGGCCUGGCAAGUGGAAGGUGAAAUCCCUCGGCUUAACCGAGGAACUGCCCUCCAAACUGCUUGGCUUGAGUCCGGGAGAGGUGAGUGGAAUUCCCAGUGUAGCGGUGAAAUGCGUAGAUAUUGGGAGGAACACCAGUGGCGAAGGCGGCUCACUGGACCGGAACUGACGCUGAUGCGCGAAAGCCAGGGGAGCAAACGGG